Molecule: ribosomal RNA, 517 nt
Filed under: uncultured bacterium
Lineage: Bacteria
Description: bacterial SSU rRNA
Rfam family: Bacterial small subunit ribosomal RNA
Source: RNAcentral
GAGUUUGAUCCUGGCUCAGGAUGAACGCUGGCGGCGUGCUUAACACAUGCAAGUCGAGCGAAGCGCUUACGACAGAACCUUCGGGGGAAGAUGUAAGGGACUGAGCGGCGGACGGGUGAGUAACGCGUGGGUAACCUGCCUUGUACAGGGGGAUAACAGUUGGAAACGGCUGCUAAUACCGCAUAAGCGCACAGCAUCGCAUGAUGCAGUGUGAAGAACUCCGGUGGUAUAAGAUGGACCCGCGUUGGAUUAGCUAGUUGGUGAGGUAACGGCCCACCAAGGCGACGAUCCAUAGCCGACCUGAGAGGGUGACCGGCCACAUUGGGACUGAGACACGGCCCAAACUCCUACGGGAGGCAGCAGUGGGGAAUAUUGCACAAUGGGCGAAAGCCUGAUGCAGCGACGCCGCGUGAGCGAAGAAGUAUUUCGGUAUGUAAAGCUCUAUCAGCAGGGAAGAUAAUGACGGUACCUGACUAAGAAGCACCGGCUAAAUACGUGCCAGCCGCCGCGGUAAUUC